Molecule: long non-coding RNA, 420 nt
Organism: Fukomys damarensis (Damara mole-rat)
Lineage: Eukaryota; Metazoa; Chordata; Mammalia; Rodentia; Bathyergidae
Exons: 3
Source: RefSeq, a predicted model, not a curated record
CAGAUGAAUAGCAAGGUGUGUACAGGAGCUCUAAAGCAGCAACAGGUAGCCAAACUCAGAACAAUGGCACAUGAUAAACCAGAUUUGUAAGUUUUAGAGGAGGUCAAAAGUGAUGAUCAUGUAUGGAUGAUGAAGAUGAAAACAACUGUGAUGAUGGCCAUGUGAGCCAAAUUUCCUGUGAUAGUGAAAUAGAUCAAGAAUCAACUGAUACAGACCCAGGGAAUGCAGGCCUCCUUGAUUCAGAAGAUGAAGAAAGUAGCAAUGCCAAAAAUAUUGAACACACCAUGACAAAAAGGAUGAAAUGAGACUCUGAAGUACUUCUGAUCUCUAGCAUAAUGGAGUAAAAUGGUUCAAGGUGCUCCCAAAAAGGCAACAAUAAAAUGAAAUGAAGUCAUCAGAACAACCAUUUUAAAACUUAAU